RNAcentral lists this long non-coding RNA (906 nucleotides) under Brachypodium distachyon (stiff brome). RNAcentral describes it as "long non-coding RNA (BDIS_LNC005772)". The record is from RNAcentral. Lineage: Eukaryota; Viridiplantae; Streptophyta; Magnoliopsida; Poales; Poaceae.
GAAAAGAUCUGUAUUCCCUCUUAUACUCUGACUCUCUGAGGUGUCCAGUGGCAUAAAGCAAUAAGCAUCAGCAUGCGCAAUGUGAGAACACGAAGAAACUCCCAUUCUACUUUUGGUACUUAAGCUAACAACCUGAUCCCAUGGAAUCAAACAUUUUCUCAUGUACCAGCACGUGAGAAGAAACUGAUUGAUUACCUCACAGUUUGCCUACACCAUUGGUGCUCUCACGGUUUACAAACUCACUUGUCUUAUCUAUUAUCUCAAAUCCAUCUCCUCACCGACAUCACAGCCUCUAUGUAGUGCACUCACUCUCAUGGUAUGUCUACAAUUGGCACCUUGCGGCGGCACAUACAACAAACGUACUGAAUUAGCAUAUACUCUGGUCAGCCGUCAGCACAAAGAAGAAAGAAAGAUGGCAAUAGGAAAAUCAAAAAUUAACAUCUUUUCAUAUGAAACAAGCGUGGAGUGUUGCAUUAUCUCGUUGGCAAUACGUAGUGUAGAUUAGCAACUGAAUUCAACUAACAAACAACUGAAUUUUGUGAAAAGAAAUUCUUAUCCCAUGGUACAUUCCCUAGUCUAAAUAAGAUGACUAUAAAAACUAAAUUCAGCUAAUUAACAACUGACACAUUCGACUAAAAACUACAUUGAGCUAAUUAACAAUGACACUUAGCAUUCCAAUGAAAUUUAUGAGGCAGAACCGUCCAUUGUUCUGUAAAUGUCUAUACCUGACUGAAUAUUGCCCAUUAGAAGAUAGCAGCCAAAUCUGACGAAGCUACUGCAGCAAAUUCUCCAUCAACUCACUCAAGUUACUUCUGAAGGCACUAUGUAAUCACAAAGCAAUUAUUCCCUAGUCUGAACACGAUGAGAUCAAAGUAAGGGUGGGGAGAUGUGCGGAUGAUUACUGAC